UGAGGAAUAUUGGUCAAUGGGGGAAACCCUGAAGCAGCAACGCCGCGUGGAGGAUGAAGGUUUUAGGAUUGUAAACUCCUUUUGUUAGAGAAGAUAAUGACGGUAUCUAACGAAUAAGCACCGGCUAACUCCGUGCCAGCAGCCGCGGUAAUACGGAGGGUGCAAGCGUUACUCGGAAUCACUGGGCGUAAAGAGCGCGUAGGCGGGAUAGCAAGUCAGAUGUGAAAUCCUAUGGCUUAACCAUAGAACUGCAUUUGAAACUGUUAUUCUAGAGUAUGGGAGAGGUAGGUGGAAUUCUUGGUGUAGGGGUAAAAUCCGUAGAGAUCAAGAGGAAUACUCAUUGCGAAGGCGACCUGCUGGAACAUAACUGACGCUGAUGCGCGAAAGCGUGGGGAGCAAA
RNAcentral lists this ribosomal RNA (400 nucleotides) under uncultured bacterium. RNAcentral's name for it is "bacterial SSU rRNA". It matches the Rfam family "Bacterial small subunit ribosomal RNA", at positions 355 to 772 of the family's 1533-position model. The record is from RNAcentral.